CCAACGGGCAGCAUAAAUCAAAGCAAUUUUACCACUCGAUUUGGACAAUUUCUUUUCAAUAAUUGCCCUGGCCACAUAAUCCUGAGCAUUAAGCCACGGAUCUAAUGCACCAUCCAUACAUUUAAUUAUUGCUUCUGGAUUAGACACCUUAGCAAUCUUUUUCAAUAAAUUCUCCAUCAUUGACAACACACAAUUCACUGAAAUGUCUAUACACAAUAUCUG
Non-coding RNA from Pelobates cultripes (western spadefoot toad), 222 nucleotides. The record is from the annotation of a GenBank genome assembly. Lineage: Eukaryota; Metazoa; Chordata; Amphibia; Anura; Pelobatidae.